RNAcentral lists this ribosomal RNA (259 nucleotides) under uncultured bacterium. Its description in RNAcentral is "partial 16S ribosomal RNA". It matches the Rfam family "Bacterial small subunit ribosomal RNA", at positions 524 to 778 of the family's 1533-position model. The record is from RNAcentral.
UACGGAGGGUGCAAGCGUUGUUCGGAAUCAUUGGGCGUAAAGCGCGCGCAGGCGGUGAAGUCAGUCUGUGGGUGAAAUGCCGGGGCUCAACCCCGAGCGUGCCCAGGAUACUGCUUUACUGGAGACACGUAGAGGCUGGCGGAAUUCCGGGUGUAGCGGUGGAAUGCGUAGAGAUCCGGAAGAACACCGGAGGCGAAGGCGGCCAAGCUGGGCGUGAUCGUGGACGCUGAGGCGCGAAGGCGUGGGGAGCGAACGAGGG